AAACAACGGUUCACAGGCCACAGAUGGGGCUGUCCAGCUAGCAAGGAGCAGAGCUGGGGUUCACACCCGGGUCUUGUCUCUUCUGGGCCUGUGCUGCCAUUGCAUUUACCAUCCAGUGUGAGGAUCGCUGGGGGUCAGCCUUGACUUGGAAUAUGCUCUCCUUUUGCUGGGAGAAUUUGGAAUGAGACUCUACAUUUUGGAUCAAGAUAACGCACAGGCAGUAAAAGUGGUUGCGAUUUCUCUGUGGUGUUUAUCGGAAAUGAGUCUGAAGACAUAGUCACAAUGAGUCAGAGAGGGAGCCCACGCCUGGAGCUGCUAAUGACUUCCCACAACUUUCCAGCGUGAGCAGAGGGGCUGAGGAAAAGACCGACGUGGGGAGGGCAAAGCUGCGGGACAGGACCUCAGGCCAGUUCGCACGAGCUCCUGGAUGCAGCUGUGCCUGCAGCCAGCAAUCACCACUGGCGUUUUCCUCCGCUGGACCAGUCAUACGUUUUCCUUUCGCGGCCAGCAAACGGGUCGGCAGCAGACACGGCCCUCCCUGACAGAGCUCCGAUGUCAGAUUUUGUCACUAUCUUGAAUUUGAAAACUCCAUUGCUCUGCUGCCUCUUCCAUGGUGCUCGGAGGUCUUGGAUUCUGCAUUCCUUCAUAUAUUCUGUGCAGCACCUGCACAGAUUCAAGGCUGUUUUCCUACUCAAAGGAAAACAAGACUGGGUGUAGAUGUAGUAAUACUUUUGGAGCGGGGCUACAAGCAAGGGUUCGCCCCCUACUUAUGUCACGGCUGUGCCUGUAGGUCUGAAGAAGAUGUUUGAGUCCACGCAGUAAAUGUCAGUCGGCUCUGCUCGUUUAUAAUCAGUAGGUUAUUCCUUCCUCAC
Long non-coding RNA from Zalophus californianus (California sea lion), 872 nucleotides. RefSeq lists it as uncharacterized. Lineage: Eukaryota; Metazoa; Chordata; Mammalia; Carnivora; Otariidae. The record is from RefSeq and is a predicted model, not a curated record. The transcript is spliced from 3 exons.